GGAAUCGGCUUUAACCCAAUGCAUCUCUCUCCCCCGCUCGCUCGCUCGCUCGCUUGGCCCCAACUCUCGAGCGCAGUUCGCUAAAACACCGUGGAAGAAUGGGAUGGUUGACGAUGGCGUAGAUCGGGUCUGACGAAGAUCGGAGGGUAUGGCCGACGCCGGUAACGAUGGGGAGGAAGACGACGGCAGAAACCGCUGGGAGGUAGCGAGGAAAGGAGGGAGGAGGUCGGCGUCUCUUUUUUUUCGGAGAUCUGUGGGAAGGAAAGCACCUAAGCGAGAUUGGAGGGGGAAGGCCGCCGCCGGUAAUGAUGGGAGGAAGGCGACGGCGGAGACCGGCGGUAGGUGGGCGUCCGCGAGGGCUCGGAAAGGGUUCGAGAAUGCAACAAAGAAAAAAAAGCAAAACAAAACAAAACAAAAAAAAAAAA
Molecule: non-coding RNA, 425 nt
Organism: Elaeis guineensis (African oil palm)
Lineage: Eukaryota; Viridiplantae; Streptophyta; Magnoliopsida; Arecales; Arecaceae
Source: RefSeq, a predicted model, not a curated record